GCUGGGUGAGGUGAUGCACACCUGUAAUCCCAGCAGCUCUGGAGGCUGAGGAAGGAGGAUCAUGAGUUCAAAACCAGUCACAGCAAAAGCGAGCACUAAGCAACUCAGUGAGACCCUAUCUUAC
Molecule: small RNA, 124 nt
Filed under: Marmota monax (woodchuck)
Lineage: Eukaryota; Metazoa; Chordata; Mammalia; Rodentia; Sciuridae
Source: RNAcentral